This 248-nucleotide non-coding RNA is filed under the name Sediminibacillus halophilus. RNAcentral describes it as "T-box sequence". It matches the Rfam family "T-box leader". Rfam says of the family: Uncharged tRNA acts as the effector for transcription antitermination of genes in the T-box leader family. T-boxes are found upstream of many aminoacyl-tRNA synthetase genes and some amino acid biosynthetic genes usually in Gram-positive bacteria. The anticodon of a specific tRNA base pairs to a specifier sequence within the T-box motif, and the NCCA acceptor tail of the tRNA base pairs to a conserved bulge in the T-box antiterminator hairpin. Lineage: Bacteria; Bacillati; Bacillota; Bacilli; Caryophanales; Bacillaceae. The record is from RNAcentral.
CUUAAAUCGCCGAGUAAGAAGAGUAAGUUUUUUGAUUUCUUCAAGAGAGCCGGGGCUGGUGGAAUCCUGGCAGAAUAAAAAAGCCGAAUGGCCUUACGAGAGUUUUUCCGAAAUAAGAGUAGGAAAAAACGUCAUUCCCACGUUACAGGGAUAGAGUAUCGGAUGAAUGGUUCAUUCCUCCCGUACUCGAAAAAGCGGAAGGAGAAUCCUUCAAUAGUGGUGGCACCGCGGCAGAAACCGUCCCCUAU